ACCAUGCUGCCUUCCCAGCACCAAGCUGCAUUGUACAUCCAAUACAAUAUGUAUACAGAGAGCACAUUGUGAGUUUCCUUUCUCCAUCCCAUCCUGAGUGUGAACCAAUAACACGUACCCCACAAGGGUUAAGGAUGAAGUCAUGUGACAAUAAAAAAAUAUCUCUAUACUUUUUUAUUUGUACAGAUUGUCUUAGAUCUAAUUUUGCUGAUGGUUGCCACAAUUUAUCUUGCAAUGUCGGCUCAGCAAGAUCUGCAGCAUCAAAUCAAUAUUGAGAAAUUGAUUACAAUCGAAGUGUGUAAAAUAUCCAUGAUGAGACAAGUGCAGCGACUAACCCCAAAGAAUUGGAAAUACAAGUCUAUUGGUGUGAUGUUGGUGGGCAUAGUGGACAUUGUUGGUCCACAUCUCUCUCCCACCACUGUGAGUAUAAAAUUGUUUAACUUAUUUACAACUUUACAAUAAUCUUGUUAAAACUUUGCAACUUUACAAUAAUCUUGUUAAAACUUUACUUGUAUAGAACCUAUCCCACCCGGCUAUGUCCAUUAAUUCAUAUGGUUAUAAUUAAUCCACUUCCAUUAUGUUUUCAAGGACCACAACCCAAACUAUGUAAGGACACCUUGUAGUACUGUACUUGACAGUCACGUACAAGAUUAUCCGUUUUCAAAGGGUUCAUAAAUGCAUCUCUCCUUUAGUAAAGAUAUAAAACUGCACUGAUUUAACUGAUCAACUUGAGCUGAAGUAUAAGAACUACCACCACCACGAAUAAACCCGAAAGGAUUUUUUAAUAAACUUUUUAUUUCACAACUCUCCGUCCUGAUAUUUUUUGGAUGUUUUUGUAGCUUCAGCUCAGCCAAUAAGGAGCAUUUUUUUAUAUAAUCUCUGAAAGACAUUCACCAUACAGACAAAGCCAACUCUCGUAACUUGACAUUUAUUAUACUUGGGGAUCUUUGUACAGUAUAAGACUUGGCACAUUCGUGAGGACCCACUUGCUCCUUUUGGUUAAGACUUGGUACACUUCCUUUUGUUAAGAUCUUGGUAUAGUCUGUAAACAGCAGUUUUCUGACAUAUAUAUUUUGAGCUCCGAAUGAGAUUGGUAUUUUUAAAGUUUGAGAUUGACUAAAAGUUAUUAUAUGCAGUAUUGUCUUAACCUUUCAUUCACAUUUCACUGUUGUAUUAGUCUGAUGUAAGAACAUGUUGAAUCCUUCUUGUAGACGAUCUUUGGCAAUUUAACUCUCCUGGUGGCUAAAUUCCAUAGAAAAUAUAUCACUCAAGUCAUAUACACAGCGUGUAGACAGUCUCUCCCUCAAGUUUAAACAAUGUCCGUAUUCCCAAGAAAAGUUUGGUAGUUUGAUCAAAUAAAAAUGCGGUCGUGACAUUUUACAUUUAAUCAUUCACUUGAGCUUCUUGGCUAUUAAAAUGUUACUUACAAGUGAUAAGUGCUAGUAAAUAUAACUUUAGUUUUCAGGAAGUUAAAACAAAAAUUAUGUUUACUAAAACAUUUUUUUUAAUUUUUUGUACUCCUUACAAUAACAGGUAGUUGUUCUGCCUUGCACCUACCAUAAUAUACAAUGUUAUGUACAAUACAUCUCGUGGUCACCCCAGGAGGAUGUACCCUAAAAAAGGGUACUUUAAUUAUUAACAACUGCUAUCAUACUGCAUCAAACCUAUAUAUAUUGCUUCACUGAACACAAGAUUUGACAAAAGAAAAAUAUCACAAACACUUAAAGUCAUUGGAUUCCAACAGGUGAUCAAAAAAUUUGUCAAAUCAGAUUUGGUAGAGCGUUUGUUAUUAUUAAUGAAGGUCAGAGGACUACUGACCAAUGUUUAAUACUAAAAUAGAGUGAAAGGUAGUGUAGUGCAUUAAGACACAACUGCAACUAAACAACUUAAAGGGAAUGAAACAUAGGAAAGUAUCUCAGGGUGAUUUAACAUUAGGCAAAACAGAAUAAAUAAUGGUAAAAGCAGGAAUUAAAUAAAUAGAGAAGAGGCUAAUGUAAAUAAUCUUUGUGUAUUCACCACAAACACACAUCCAAUUCAUCCCUGCCAUUCCA
This is a long non-coding RNA of Homarus americanus (American lobster), 2051 nucleotides long. RefSeq lists it as uncharacterized. The transcript has 2 exons. The record is from RefSeq and is a predicted model, not a curated record. NCBI's taxonomy places the organism in Eukaryota, Metazoa, Arthropoda, Malacostraca, Decapoda, Nephropidae.